RNAcentral lists this ribosomal RNA (473 nucleotides) under uncultured bacterium. RNAcentral's name for it is "bacterial SSU rRNA". It matches the Rfam family "Bacterial small subunit ribosomal RNA", at positions 28 to 382 of the family's 1533-position model. The record is from RNAcentral.
GAUGAACGCUGGCGGCGUGCUUAACACAUGCAAGUCGAGCGGGCAAUUUAUCUAGCACUGAUUACUUCAAAUGGCUAUCGCCAGUGCAAUCAUGAAUUUCUACCUUAUAAUAAAGAAAAAAGAAAUUCAUGUACGCAAAUAGUGAUAACACAUUUUAGUGGAGUGAUGAGUGCUGGAUAAAUUGCUAGCGGCGGACGGGUGCGUAACACGUGGGUAACCUGCCCCUAUCACUGGGAUAACACACUGAAAAGUGUGCUAAUACCAGAUAACAUAAGCUUUUGGCAUCAUUAGCUUAUCAAAGAAUUUCGGAUAGGGAUGGGCCCGCGUCUGAUUAGCUAGUUGGUGAGGUAACGGCUCACCAAGGCAACGAUGGAUAGGGGAACUGAGAGGUUUAUCCCCCACACUGGUACUGAGACACGGACCAGACUCCUACGGGAGGCAGCAGUGAGGAAUAUUGGUCAAUGGACGCAAGU